RNAcentral lists this ribosomal RNA (497 nucleotides) under uncultured bacterium. RNAcentral describes it as "partial 16S ribosomal RNA". It matches the Rfam family "Bacterial small subunit ribosomal RNA", at positions 28 to 507 of the family's 1533-position model. The record is from RNAcentral.
GAUGAACGCUGGCGGCGUGCCUAAUACAUGCAAGUCGAGCGAACAGACGAGGAGCUUGCUCCUCUGACGUUAGCGGCGGACGGGUGAGUAACACGUGGAUAACCUACCUAUAAGACUGGGAUAACUUCGGGAAACCGGAGGUAAUACCGGAUAAUAUAUUGAACCGCAUGGUUCAAUAGUGAAAGACGGUUUUGCUGUCACUUAUAGAUGGAUCCGCGCCGCAUUAGCUAGUUGGUAAGGUAACGGCUUACCAAGGCAACGAUGCGUAGCCGACCUGAGAGGGUGAUCGGCCACACUGGAACUGAGACACGGUCCAGACUCCUACGGGAGGCAGCAGUAGGGAAUCUUCCGCAAAGGGCGAAAGCCUGACGGAGCAACGCCGCGUGAGUGAUGAAGGUCUUCGGAUCGUAAAACUCUGUUAUUAGGGAAGAACAAAUGUGUAAGUAACUAUGCACGUCUUGACGGUACCUAAUCAGAAAGCCACGGCUAACUACGUG